UGCAUGCAAUAUAGCCUAUGUUGAAUUGG
This 29-nucleotide non-coding RNA is filed under the name Mus musculus (house mouse). The record is from RNAcentral. Lineage: Eukaryota; Metazoa; Chordata; Mammalia; Rodentia; Muridae.